GUCCAUGCCGUAAACGUUGGGAACUAGAUGUGGGGACCAUUCCACGGUCUCCGUGUCGCAGCUAACGCAUUAAGUUCCCCGCCUGGGGAGUACGGCCGCAAGGCUAAAACUCAAAGGAAUUGACGGGGGCCCGCACAAGCGGCGGAGCAUGCGGAUUAAUUCGAUGCAACGCGAAGAACCUUACCAAGGCUUGACAUAUACAGGAAACGUCUGGAAACAGUCGCCCCGCAAGGUCUGUAUACAGGUGGUGCAUGGUUGUCGU
RNAcentral lists this ribosomal RNA (262 nucleotides) under uncultured bacterium. RNAcentral's name for it is "partial 16S ribosomal RNA". It matches the Rfam family "Bacterial small subunit ribosomal RNA", at positions 793 to 1055 of the family's 1533-position model. The record is from RNAcentral.